CCCCUCUCAGGAUCACACCUGGAGAGUUUCCAGUACCCUACCAGUUUUGGCAACAGGAGGGAGAGUCAAGCAGAGGCCUACCCAUUCCUUUCCUAGCUUGGGCAUUGGCUAGCGAGUGGAAGGUCAUCUCCUACAAGU
Molecule: small nucleolar RNA, 138 nt
Organism: Ornithorhynchus anatinus (platypus)
Lineage: Eukaryota; Metazoa; Chordata; Mammalia; Monotremata; Ornithorhynchidae
Source: RefSeq, a predicted model, not a curated record